AGAGGGUGCUAUAAAUUGUCAAACCUAGAGAAAAAAUAACAAGUUUGAAAUGGGGGAAGAGACGGGAAAGACUGGGAGAGGGAAGGCGGCGUCUGGUUCCAGAGGGUCUCCAUACCUAAGGUGUAGUGAGGAAGCUUUUAUAUUCCACGCGAAAUAAUUCAAUUAGGGGAGUCUUUCUGAAGCUCCAACCAGAAAGAUCCGUACUGUCAAAGUGUCUAGUUGACAUUUUUUUUCCUGCAAACAUAAGAUGGGUUGAAUGCCCGGCCCAUGGUUCUAAACCUGGAUAUCUGGUAUCGUUCAUGCAGGUACCAAUGGCCGGACUGAGAAAUCCAUGCCUCGACUGGGAAGCAGGAACGAGCCCGACAUGUUUAUGGCCUGAGUUGGAUCGGUUUGAUUAAUAAACGUGUCAAACCUAAUAUGCUUAUAAAUCUGUAGUGCAUGGUUAUCCACC
Long non-coding RNA from Macadamia integrifolia, 451 nucleotides. RefSeq lists it as uncharacterized. The transcript has 2 exons. Lineage: Eukaryota; Viridiplantae; Streptophyta; Magnoliopsida; Proteales; Proteaceae. The record is from RefSeq and is a predicted model, not a curated record.